RNAcentral lists this unclassified non-coding RNA (756 nucleotides) under Hevea brasiliensis (rubber tree). The record is from RNAcentral. Lineage: Eukaryota; Viridiplantae; Streptophyta; Magnoliopsida; Malpighiales; Euphorbiaceae.
GCCGAUCGAUUUCUCAUUUCUGUAAAGAUUAAAGAACCAUCAAAAUUCAAGAAUCAAGAAUGCAACUUUAUUGCUCCAAAGUCUAGAUUUAUUAACAGAAGACCAUCUUCAGGCUCAGAAACGAAAACCACAUCAAACCAAAACAGUGCUAUUGUACUAACAAAACACACACAUAUAGUUAUAUAGAUGGUUGAAGAUGAUCGAUCAAGAUGCUUGAGUUUGAGUAGCCUCCUGAGCCUUCUGCUGGACAUAUUGCCCAUAUUCCUUAGCUCUCUCUUUCAUAUCGUGGGCCUUUCUUGCUAUCUGCCCUCUCGCAUAAUCCAGCUUAUCCGCGCCAGGUGGGUGCUUCCCUGUCAAGUAAUUAUACAUCCAAGUUAAUGCCAUUAUCGCCAUCAACCCACACCCACCUGAGAAAAAGAACCCAGUGGUGACCAGGAACACCACUAUCCCUGCUGGGACUAAAACGGAACUACAAAGCACCAGAAUUGGGGUGGACACGAUCAGAGCUAUGACUGUCCCAGUUAAAGUCAACCCUGACAAGAGCAAGAAAGUUGCACCUAUCAUGGCAGCGGUGAGGAAUUUGACCGUCGGGUGGGAGGAUCGCGGUGGCUCACGGACCAGUUGGGAAACUGGUCUUGAUUGAUCAGACAUAAUGGGCGACGAAAGGAGGAGUAGUUUGGGUUAAUUGUCGGGGAGGGGAAGCAGGGGAUGAGAGUGAUAUAUAAUAAUGAGUGGAGGUGGAGGUGCGGGAUGAUA